RNAcentral lists this ribosomal RNA (230 nucleotides) under uncultured bacterium. Its description in RNAcentral is "partial 16S ribosomal RNA". It matches the Rfam family "Bacterial small subunit ribosomal RNA", at positions 562 to 791 of the family's 1533-position model. The record is from RNAcentral.
AAAGGGUGCGUAGGUGGCUUUUUAAGUCAGGGGUGAAAGACGGUAGCUUAACUAUCGCAGUGCCCUUGAUACUGAAGAGCUUGAAUGAACUAGAGGUAGGCGGAAUGUGACAAGUAGCGGUGAAAUGCAUAGAUAUGUCACAGAACACCAAUUGCGAAGGCAGCUUACUAUGGUUAAAUUGACACUGAGGCACGAAAGCGUGGGGAUCAAACAGGAUUAGAUACCCUUGU